AGUGGGGAAUUUUGCGCAAUGGACGAAAGUCUGACGCAGCGACGCCGCGUGUGCGAUGAAGGCCUUUGGGUCGUAAAGCACUGUCGACCGGGACGAAAACUCACGGACUAAUACUUCGUGAGUCUGACGGUACUGGUUGAAGGAAGCACCGGCUAACUCUGUGCCAGCAGCCGCGGUAAU
RNAcentral lists this ribosomal RNA (180 nucleotides) under uncultured delta proteobacterium. RNAcentral describes it as "partial 16S ribosomal RNA". It matches the Rfam family "Bacterial small subunit ribosomal RNA", at positions 353 to 524 of the family's 1533-position model. The record is from RNAcentral. Lineage: Bacteria; Deltaproteobacteria.